Long non-coding RNA from Calidris pugnax (ruff), 1069 nucleotides. RefSeq lists it as uncharacterized. The transcript has 4 exons. The record is from RefSeq and is a predicted model, not a curated record. Lineage: Eukaryota; Metazoa; Chordata; Aves; Charadriiformes; Scolopacidae.
UUCCUUGCCCCCCCCGCAGGCCGGGCCGGGCUCCCCGCCGCUCCCCUCCCGCAGCGAUGGCGGGGGGGACGUUCCCCUCAGUGAGGGGAACCGACUUCCUUGUUGGCCGCCGCCUCCCCGCCGUCCUUCUCCCCUCUCGGCCGCCUCUGCCCGCUCCCCUUCCUUCUCGGAAGGGAAGCAAAGGCCGCGCUGCCCACCUCCGGGCAGCGCUCCUCCAGCCUCCGCCGCGGCUCAGCUGAGGGGGAACCCCUGCAAAGACACCCCGUUUUUCCCCCGCGGGGGGCGAUCGGUCGAAAGCCCGGUCGCCAGAGCGCGGUGGGCGGCCCGGGGACCGCCGGCGACCGUUUAACGGUCGGAGAGCGACGACCAACCGACGCCCCUCAGCCGGGGGGGCGGCCGCCAUUACCUGCCGCCCGCCCACCUACCUGCCGCCCGCCGCUGUUCCGAGCCUGCCAUGACCGCCGAGAGAGGUGGCGACUUUGGUGUACACGCCAGGAUGACCAGCCUCCCCACAGUUCUCACCCCAGCUCACGAUGCCCCAGACGUACGCCACGUUUUCUGCAUCAAAACAGACCAGGGGUCCUCCUGAAUCACCUUUGCAACUGUCGAUGGAGCCAUCGGUUCUUUUCAACCAGGGGUGUCCUCCAGAUCAGUUUACCAGGAGGCUGCAACAGCAGAGGAAGCAGUACAGAAAAGAGAACCACCAGCGAAAGCCAAAGCCGAACCGCAGCCUGUGUUUUCUGUACUCAGCCUCUUCCCAGUGCUUCGUGCACAGCUGCUCUUCAGCCUUUUCAAAAGGAAAGCUCACCACAAUUAGAAAACGAGGGAUGCAAGUAAUACAUUCUUGUAGCAAGCACUAAAGCAAGUACCUUUCUCCAGUCCCCAUCCAGAAACCUUGCAUCUGUCACCAGCCUUGAACAUAUACUCCGACCAGGGGAUGCAGGCAGGGGUGCUGUACUUCAGGGAGCAUUCUCCUUUCCUGAAACCUCUCAGCUCCAGCAGAGCAAUGUCGUUUUCGAGGACAAUAAUGCCCACUGAAAUUGAUGCUGAACAACCUGGUAUCUGGUAA